This 1229-nucleotide ribosomal RNA is filed under the name Microbacterium sp. MCCC 1A11210. RNAcentral's name for it is "bacterial SSU rRNA". It matches the Rfam family "Bacterial small subunit ribosomal RNA", at positions 188 to 1430 of the family's 1533-position model. The record is from RNAcentral. Lineage: Bacteria; Bacillati; Actinomycetota; Actinomycetes; Micrococcales; Microbacteriaceae.
AUGGUUACUUGUUGGAAAGAUUUUUCGGUUGGGGAUGGGCUCGCGGCCUAUCAGCUUGUUGGUGAGGUAAUGGCUCACCAAGGCGUCGACGGGUAGCCGGCCUGAGAGGGUGACCGGCCACACUGGGACUGAGACACGGCCCAGACUCCUACGGGAGGCAGCAGUGGGGAAUAUUGCACAAUGGGCGGAAGCCUGAUGCAGCAACGCCGCGUGAGGGAUGACGGCCUUCGGGUUGUAAACCUCUUUUAGCAGGGAAGAAGCGAAAGUGACGGUACCUGCAGAAAAAGCGCCGGCUAACUACGUGCCAGCAGCCGCGGUAAUACGUAGGGCGCAAGCGUUAUCCGGAAUUAUUGGGCGUAAAGAGCUCGUAGGCGGUUUGUCGCGUCUGCUGUGAAAUCCCGAGGCUCAACCUCGGGCCUGCAGUGGGUACGGGCAGACUAGAGUGCGGUAGGGGAGAUUGGAAUUCCUGGUGUAGCGGUGGAAUGCGCAGAUAUCAGGAGGAACACCGAUGGCGAAGGCAGAUCUCUGGGCCGUAACUGACGCUGAGGAGCGAAAGGGUGGGGAGCAAACAGGCUUAGAUACCCUGGUAGUCCACCCCGUAAACGUUGGGAACUAGUUGUGGGGUCCAUUCCACGGAUUCCGUGACGCAGCUAACGCAUUAAGUUCCCCGCCUGGGGAGUACGGCCGCAAGGCUAAAACUCAAAGGAAUUGACGGGGACCCGCACAAGCGGCGGAGCAUGCGGAUUAAUUCGAUGCAACGCGAAGAACCUUACCAAGGCUUGACAUACACCAGAACACCCUGGAAACAGGGGACUCUUUGGACACUGGUGAACAGGUGGUGCAUGGUUGUCGUCAGCUCGUGUCGUGAGAUGUUGGGUUAAGUCCCGCAACGAGCGCAACCCUCGUUCUAUGUUGCCAGCACGUAAUGGUGGGAACUCAUGGGAUACUGCCGGGGUCAACUCGGAGGAAGGUGGGGAUGACGUCAAAUCAUCAUGCCCCUUAUGUCUUGGGCUUCACGCAUGCUACAAUGGCCGGUACAAUGGGCAGCGAUACCGUGAGGUGGAGCGAAUCCCAAAAAGCCGGUCCCAGUUCGGAUUGAGGUCUGCAACUCGACCUCAUGAAGUCGGAGUCGCUAGUAAUCGCAGAUCAGCAACGCUGCGGUGAAUACGUUCCCGGGUCUUGUACACACCGCCCGUCAAGUCAUGAAAGUCGGUAACACCUGAAGCCGG